This 203-nucleotide ribosomal RNA is filed under the name uncultured bacterium. RNAcentral's name for it is "partial 16S ribosomal RNA". It matches the Rfam family "Bacterial small subunit ribosomal RNA", at positions 524 to 722 of the family's 1533-position model. The record is from RNAcentral.
UACGAAGGGGGCUAGCGUUGCUCGGAAUUACUGGGCGUAAAGCGCACGUAGGCGGAUAUUUAAGUCAGGGGUGAAAUCCCAGAGCUCAACUCUGGAACUGCCUUUGAUACUGGGUAUCUUGAGUAUGGAAAGAGGUAAGUGGAAAUUGCGAGUGUAGAGGUGAAAAUUCGUAGAUAUUCGCAGGAACACCAGUGGCGAAAGGC